ACGUUAGCGGCGGACGGGUGAGUAACACGUGGGUAACCUACCUAUAAGACUUGGAUAACUUCGGGAAACCGGAGCUAAUACCGGAUAAUGUUUCGAACCGCAUGGUUCGAUAGUGAAAGAUGGUUUUGCUAUCACUUAUAGAUGGACCCGCGCCGUAUUAGCUAGUUGGUAAGGUAACGGCUUACCAAGGCGACUAUACGUAGCCGACCUGGGAGGGUGAUCGGCCACACUGGAACUGAGACACGGUCCAGACUCCUACGGGAGGCAGCAGCA
This 273-nucleotide ribosomal RNA is filed under the name uncultured Staphylococcus sp. RNAcentral's name for it is "partial 16S ribosomal RNA". It matches the Rfam family "Bacterial small subunit ribosomal RNA", at positions 89 to 355 of the family's 1533-position model. Lineage: Bacteria; Bacillati; Bacillota; Bacilli; Caryophanales; Staphylococcaceae. The record is from RNAcentral.